UCUGGUGACGAUGGCGAAGAGGUCACACCCGUUCCCAUCCCGAACACGGAAGUUAAGCUCUUCAGCGCCGAUGGUAGUAAGGGGUCUCCCCUUGCAAGAGCAGGACGUUGCCAGGC
RNAcentral lists this ribosomal RNA (116 nucleotides) under Bacillus sp. FJAT-49711. The record is from RNAcentral. Lineage: Bacteria; Bacillati; Bacillota; Bacilli; Caryophanales; Bacillaceae.